This 73-nucleotide transfer RNA is filed under the name Benthodesmus tenuis (slender frostfish). RNAcentral's name for it is "tRNA-Thr". It matches the Rfam family "tRNA". Rfam says of the family: Transfer RNA (tRNA) molecules are approximately 80 nucleotides in length. Lineage: Eukaryota; Metazoa; Chordata; Actinopteri; Scombriformes; Trichiuridae. The record is from RNAcentral.
GCAACUGUAGCUCAGCCCCCAGAGCCCCGACUUUGUAAGUCGAACGUCGGAGGUUAGAAUCCUCCCACUUGCU